This 253-nucleotide ribosomal RNA is filed under the name uncultured bacterium. RNAcentral describes it as "partial 16S ribosomal RNA". It matches the Rfam family "Bacterial small subunit ribosomal RNA", at positions 524 to 776 of the family's 1533-position model. The record is from RNAcentral.
UACGAAGGGUGCAAGCGUUACUCGGAAUUACUGGGCGUAAAGCGUGCGUAGGUGGUGAGUUAAGUCUGUCGUGAAAGCCCCGGGCUCAACCUGGGAAUGGCGAUGGAUACUGGCUCGCUAGAGUGCGGUAGAGGAGAGUGGAAUUCCCGGUGUAGCAGUGAAAUGCGUAGAGAUCGGGAGGAACAUCAGUUGCGAAGGCGGUUCUCUGGGCCUUACCUGACGCUGAGGUGCGAAAGCGUGGGGAGCAAACAGG